Pygocentrus nattereri (red-bellied piranha) is the source of this 1360-nucleotide long non-coding RNA. NCBI's taxonomy places the organism in Eukaryota, Metazoa, Chordata, Actinopteri, Characiformes, Serrasalmidae. The record is from Ensembl.
CUGUUGGCAGGUCUGAACCAUGGUGAGGUCAUUGCUGAGAUGACCUCCUGGCUGGAGCGCAUGGAGGGCAGACUGAGAGAGGAGAGCUCCAGAGAGCACCACGUCCUGAAUUGCUCUGAGCUCACCACACUUUUACAGCAGCUAAAGGACUGUAAAGCAGAAAUUACCAGCCGGCAACUAUGUGUGGAUUUCCUCAACCAGUCUGUUGAGGAGGUGGGCUUCCUGGAUGACCUGGGCAGUCGUAAAGAGCGUUUGUGCCUUGCUGAGCAAUUGGGGGACCUUAAUCUCCGCUGGAUCCUCCUGCAGAGGAAGAUUGACAGCCAAAUACAUGAAAUUGAGCACAAAAAGCAUGACUGCAAAAAAAGAGAGGGACGUCUGCAGCAACUGCGCACCUGGGUCUCAGAACAGCAAGAGAAGACGAGUGUUACUGAGAGGCCAGCAAGCUGGACACAGAUAGAGCAGGCCUUAAGGGAUUAUAAGGUCUGUAUUUGAACUUAUAUAACAAGACCAGUGUUUUUUUAAGUCAGUAUUAGAUAAUUAAAAUGUGCAUGUGCUUGUUGAAGUAAGGAGACAGUUAGGAAGUUUGUCCUUGUUUACUUGCAGGAGGAGGAGGAGAAGCUGAAUUUGAAAUCAGUUGAGCUGCUGCAGUUGAGAAAUCUUCACCUACUGGGUCAGCAUGAUGGGCAGCACCCCAUGGAUCAGGCAUUCUGCUCGGAGGUGGAGAGCACCAUUCAACAGUGCCAAUCUUUGAGGCAGCAGAUGUGUACCAUACAGGCUAAUCUGGUCAUGCUGAAGGAGCAGUGGACAGACUUUGACACUGAGCUGAGGGAUACAGCUCUGCACACAGCAGGCAUGAGCUAUAAGCUUGAGCUCAGCAAAACCCAUAUGUUUUCACUCCAGCAGAGCAAAGAACAUGUUGAAGAACUCCAGGAGCUUCAGAUGGAGCUAGAAAGGUCACAGGAGACUUGGACCAAAUUAUCUAGUUUUUGCUCAGAACUGAAAGGCAAAAUCCACCCUGCUGCAGCUCUGCUACUGUCUGACCGCCUGGACAGAGAGAAAACACGGUGGACAGUGAUGGUCCAGGAUGUGGGUGCGGAACUACAGAAGGCUCAAAGUGCCCUGAAUCUCUGGCGGGACUACAGCAUGCUCUAUGGAGACUGCUCUGUGCGUUUGAGCCGCCAAUGGCAGAAGUAUGAAGUGCUCUUUAGCCCCCUGGCCAAAGAGGAGAACAGCAUGGAGCUGCUUCAUAGCAGGCUUAAUGCCAUCAGCGUGAGUGAUUCAGCCGCACUUACUCAGCAAACAAACCAGGAAAACAUGCUGGAUAGAAACAAUAAAAUCUAAAGAUUUGGAAAACAGAAGC